AUCGGACCGAGCGAGGUAAAACGACCAAACGAGAGGGCACAAGGGGGCAGCUACCACUCGCGGCCGCCUCCAACGCGAGCUCGCGGUGGCGGUGGCGGGCCGCCGCGGCCCUCAAAAGCGGCGACUACAUCGAGGGCAGGGUGGGACCGCGCUUACCUCGACUCGGGUCAAUCAAGCAGCGACCCGCGGUACCCGAGGGAGGGUGCCUUCGAGCUGCUCGAGGACCGCUGGCCCGUGACCCGAGACGCCCCCCGACGCUACCUACCCUAGCCCGUGGACCGGCGGCUGGAGGUGCUCGACGUCUCGGAGGACGACUCGGAGAGCUUCUGAGCUUGCGCGUCCUGGGAGGGCAUCGCCGCCCCACGACCUACUUCCUCCACGCGCUCGACAGGAUGCUGCACCUCCUGACGCGGCUGGCUAAGCAGUUGCCGCGCCUCUGGGCGUCCGCUGGACGAGCCGCAUUACGGUCACAGCGGGCCGACUUCUAGUUAGCGGAAGGCUCCUCCGCCUCCACCGAGGGUACCUAGUUGUCGUCCCAGGAUCUCAAGUCCUGGGCUCGCGUCCUCCGCUUGCUCUCCAUGACCUCCAUGGUCAAGCUACUAACACGGAGGCCAGGACUUAUGAGAGGACGAUGACCGGCGUGACACACGCGCCUCGGACCACUAGUACAUCCGUACCUUCCGGGACACCCACUCGAGGUGGCCAGAGACUGACUACCUCUCCUCGUCGAGUUCCACCAUCGUUAGCAGCCACAACGUCCCUAGCCAUUUUGGUGCGAACGGGACUUUAACAACCCAUUCGAGGUCCCUGUCAAGCUCACACAGCGGAAACACGCCUGUCGUGUUUUCGGGUUAUACUCCCCGUAGUAGUCGUCAUAUGAGAGUGUUCAAGCAGGCGUGGUUGACGGUCUGGGACGGCUGUACGUGGUGGAGUAGGCACUAGAGUUUCUUGUAGAUGUUCUAUUCUCCAUGAAGUAACAUUAACUACUGAACACCCGAUGUAGUCACACCCUACAAGAAUCAGCACGAAAAGGUCUCCCAUCAAGUACGUCAUCUUAUCAUCGAUGCUGUCUUUAAUACCUUCAUCGAGUCCGUACGACGUCAAAAGUGGGACAGGUAUAAAAAGUCUACCUUAAAGAUUCGCUGUUACUGAGUGUUUUUUAUAACGAGGUUUCUUAAGAGAGUCUUUUAGUUUCAGGAGUUGUAAAGCUAGUGCAAAAUGGAGUAUAAAACUCUUUUACACCACCAAACGGCGAUCGUUAAUAGUACCAUCGGUCGGAAAAUCGUUCGGCUGGACUCUUUGAUCUAGUUGACCCGAAACACGUCUCAAGAGAACCAAGUUUAUACGCCGACGUCCGUGUAGGAUGGUACCUUUCCAAAUACCUUGUUAAUAACUUGUAAUCCAAACUAUCAGAAGGUGUAAUAAACUUCUGUACAGACGAAAUAGAAUCAUGUACAGGUCUCCCGAUGUAUAAGAACUUCCUACUAAACCACUUCGUUACCGAUCGACUCCUAAAGUACACACGUGUCAAUCCCUUUCUGUACCUCCUUCAACGUUAUUCGAUAAAACUACUCGAACAGUCAUACCCGGACUAGGUUCAAUACCUAUAGUUGAUGUCAAUACUAGAUAACAGAAUAAGUCAGGUAGUAUACCAAGAACUAAAAUAAUGUAUGUUCAGAUAACUUCUCUUGAAGUAGUGACAUCACCUAAUAAGAGUUUGUCGUUACGAUGAAGGACUAUUUCAAGCGGCUAACAGCGAGGUGAAACCGUCACGUUGUAUACGUUGAUGUGGUCGAUCAUGGUCUAAUAGUGUUCAAGCUAGUGAGAAGAAAAAACCUGACAAAUUGACGUACGGAAGUAACUACCACAAAUUCAAAAAAGCUCAAGAUUUGGAAGCAGAAACCCAGCUAGAACCUUUAUACUCAAACCUGGAAUGUUCUUAAUCACUUGACAAAGCUGACUCUAUAAACGUACAGUGUACAUCACGGUAACACUUCAAUGGUCUAGUCUAACUUCGAUACUUUGUAAACCUUUGUGACCUUUAUUUAAGUUCUCAUACGCGGUAAGGUGGUCUGUAACAAGCGGAAGGCUCGAACAACGUAGAGACAGAAGCUCCACCUUGUUUAGAUGGACUGCCCUAACCGGUAUAUUCUAGAGAUGCAUGUGAUUUCAUAAAACUGGAACCAUUAUUGAGACUUCUGUUAAAUACCUCGGCACCGCUCGACUGUUUGGACGCCCUAGAUGUAAAGUGUAUAAGAUCUAAUGGUAGAUCACUUGUAAACUUCUCUUUAGACUAUCGAGACCGGAGAAGUGAACCCUUUGAGACAUUGGAGUUUAGACAGUGAGACCGAGGACCAUGACGUCCGUACCAACAAGAGCAACUACCGAGCUCGUCGUACAGGAGACGAGGUCAGAAGGAACUCUCCGAACUCGACAACGGCGGGUAUACGUAGAAAAGGUCUGAAGGGUUCACCUAACCUGUUGAGGCGUUUUAGACGUAACACUUUCAACGACAAUUUCUUGACGACUGCUUACUAUAACUAUAGGAGUGUCCUAAUGGGAGGGAGCGUCAGGAGAGUAACACCCAGGUCUGUCGGGGACUCCCUCCUUAGUAGAAGUUGCUUCCCCGUGAGGGUCAAGAGUUCAUAAAGCUCAAAUCCACACCGCAUGAAACAGACCGAAAGUACCGUCCUCGUUACGGGUUAGAAGCCUCCUAGUUCGAUCGAAAGUUAUGACUAUAGUCCCUCUUCAUGUCAUUAUACGAAGGGCCUUAGCUCGUGGAAAAUUUGGAGGUCCUACAGUGACCUGUUUAACCCCAUCAAUGACUUAGACUGUCUCCCCGACGACUUAGUCGUAAGUUCCUUCGGUAAUCGUUCGUAGGUUACAGGAGAUCUAGAUCGUAUGUUACCCACCUAGGUCAACUCUUUCAUAAGACAGGAAGUCUCUUUGUCAUAAACUCCGCUCCUUCUCCAAGUAGUCUACUUUGCGUACCCCCAGAUCUCUUUCGGCUUCUACGCUAGUUUGUACGAUUCUCUCCAUUUUGAAGAAGGCGACCCGACCUAGACCUGGUGCUAUAGUUCCGGAUGUCUUGGAGAACAAGUUCGCGAAAAAGGGGAGUUUUCGCGCAGUCUUGUGUGAAGAAAACGUAAUCUUCUUUCCGGUGGUUUUACCCCGUUUCGAUGUGUUGGUGGUUCCCACCGUGACUGGCUUGACUUUUGUUCUUUCUCGUCGUUUUUGAUGUCUGGGGCGAUUUAAUACAUGUUUCCUUUUUGGUUGUCGUUUCGAGAGUAAGUUCACGAAGCCAACCCUUAUUCUGUCUCCUGCGUUUUAACAAGUCAUGGUGAGGAAGUAGUAGUUUAAACGUUUCGUAACUUGCACUUCUCGUCUACAACGACCUGAGGUACCUUGUUCUCACGGACCUAUCGUCGGUCGGACCCCUCGUUUAACGACGACUCUGACCACACGUUAGAGUCCAGAGAAGAGGGAGUAGCGCAAGAGGGAGUAGUCGUUCGUGGUGCUUCUUCUCGUACGAAGACCCGAGUUGAAUCGACCUCUUCCGUACCUCUACUCGAGUUUGUAGUAGAACUUCGUCCUAUAAGAACGAUUCCAAUUUCUUGUACUUCUUGUUUAACGAGCAAAUUCUUACGUAGAACAACUGAUAAGUCACUUCCUUAGGGUGUAUGAAUUACUCUUCGAACAAAACCUUUUUGCAUAACGUAUAUACGCUUCCCUUAAACUAGUCGUGGUUGUUCUAAGGGAACUACGGCGUAGUUUUCGAAACAGAAUGUCUGUUCUGUAAUAACUCCUUUUAGAGGUAGACCGUAUGAGUGAUGUCCGUCGUGCAGCUUCGUCUAGUUUAAAACAUGAAAGAAACUGCGGAGAAGACAGUCGUGUAUUGGACGUCGGAAGAUAAGGCCUACGAGUUAGUUAACAAUCGUUAGACUUCCAAAACAAAUGCGUAAACGUUCUCUUUGAGCGAUAAUGACUCCUCUUUGUCUUCCUUAAUGUCAUGGUCUAACGAGCCGCACGACUUAGAAGUUUAUAAUGCCGUGUCUGUGGAAGAGUAGGAGGACCUUUACGUAACCAACGAAGACAUGCUGCGAUAGGAUAAAACAGGAAAUAAGAGACGAAUGAGGAUUGAAGGAUGUAAAGGUCUCGGUUUGGCUGGAACUGUAACACGGGGUCGUUCGUAUAGGAGUACAUGUCGCAGGUUAAAGAAUAGGGCAAGCUCGAUCUGCCCUAUCCCCAAAUAACCGUUUACUCUUGGCAGUCUAGGAGGGUUGGUUCCGACGAGACUGUCUGUGACUCGUGCUGUUACAACCUUCCUGGAGAGGAGGUUCUUCGUUGGUUAAAUGGUUCAUACCACAUCGUUUUCUUUGACUCGCACUAAGAGCACGACCUGCUAGGGCCUAAAUUGAAACUUAGGUUCCUAGUUUUGGGUAGUAAGUUCCGGGGACAACCCCCACUACAUUGUUUUUUAGAUCUUCCUCGCCUUUGGGUUUGAAGUGCCCUUGGAGGACGCCUCACCUCAGGAGUUCCGGGUGGAUUAAACCAUAGACCGGAACUCCCACCCUUGGACAGAAUGGGAAUAGAAGGAUGACAGGAACUCCUCGGAUCAAGAAGAAAGAAACUUCGACGUCUCCUACUGGGUGAUGGUCGGUAUCUACCCGAUUCUUAGUGUCCACUUCGAAAAGGACCUUCACUUGAAGUUCGUUCACCCAUAAGGUCGUUACCCUGGUGUUCAACAAUAAAACUCACCCAUGCGGUAAACCUUCUACCUAGCCAUUUGAUGUAUCUUCCACGUUUCGUUGGGUGUAUAAAUCAAUGACGACUACUAGACCUGAGAAAUGAUCGGUAUCUCCAGGUCGGAGAUCUACUGGCUUUUUCGAAAGUCCCAAAUGCAGCAGGUUCUCCUACCGGUACUAUCGGAGGAGACCAACUGUGACAGCUCAGGUAGUGAAAGUCCCAAAUGCAGCAGGUGAACCAAGGUCGAUAACUCGUAGCUCGGGAGAGAGGUGACUCCACCGCAGUUCUUGAAACUUAGUAGUGACCUCGGUGGACCCCAGUAACUGUCUCUUCCUGGUUGUGCAUCACAAACUUCUCAUCUUUUCCUAAGGGAGUAGCGUCUGUACCGGAGCUUCUUGGCCCACGUCCUACGUUCGCGUCGUCCGCUGAGAGACUUCAAAACUGAGGUGACCUUUAGAGGUUGACUACGACAGUUACGGGGUAUCAGUGAACGGCGAAAGUCUUCGUCGAGGCUCUUAACAAAGACUCCUCUUCGUUCAUGUCACUCAUCGUUUAUAAUGUUGUGCAAGCGGGUUCUUUGGUGUGUAAGGAAACAUGUCUUUAGUGGGUUCGUCUACGUCGAUUCUAAGAGGAGGUAUUUAGUUAUGUAACAUUUCUUCCGGUUCUUAGCCUUUUGACCAACACCCAAAGAUGAUCUAUGUGGUAAAAAUCAAACGUACUUACUCAAUUACUAUAUAAAAGAUAUUUUUUGACUUUAGUUUUCCUAGUUCUUGGGCUGGACCAUAAGUCGAAGUUGUCCUUACGUUAGUUCGCUUAUUCCAACGAC
This 5572-nucleotide ribosomal RNA is filed under the name Triticum aestivum (bread wheat). Its description in RNAcentral is "partial small subunit ribosomal RNA". Lineage: Eukaryota; Viridiplantae; Streptophyta; Magnoliopsida; Poales; Poaceae. The record is from RNAcentral.